GACGAACGCUGGCGGCGUGCUUAACACAUGCAGGUCGAACGGAAAGGCCCUGCUUUUGUGGGGUGCUCGAGUGGCGAACGGGUGAGUAACACGUGAGUAACCUGCCCUUGACUUUGGGAUAACUUCAGGAAACUGGGGCUAAUACCGGAUAGGAGCUCCUGCUGCAUGGUGGGGGUUGGAAAGUUUCGGCGGUUGGGGAUGGACUCGCGGCUUAUCAGCUUGUUGGUGGGGUAGUGGGUUACCAAGGCUUUGACGGGUAGCCGGCCUGAGAGGGUGACCGGCCACAUUGGGACUGAGAUACGGCCCAGACUGCUACGAGAGGAAGCAGUGGGGAAGAUUGCACAAGGGGCGGAAGCCUGAUGCAGCAACGCCGCGGGCGGGAUGGCGGCCUUGGGGUUGUAAACCGCUUUCGCCUGUGACGAAGCGUGAGUGACGGUAAUGGGAAAAGAAGCACCGGCUAAAUACGUGC
This 469-nucleotide ribosomal RNA is filed under the name uncultured bacterium. RNAcentral's name for it is "partial 16S ribosomal RNA". It matches the Rfam family "Bacterial small subunit ribosomal RNA", at positions 28 to 508 of the family's 1533-position model. The record is from RNAcentral.